AGCGAACGCUGGCGGCGUGCCUAACACAUGCAAGUCGAACGUGAACGGGGGGCAACCCCUAGUAAAGUGGCGUACGGGUGAGUAACACGUAGGUAAUCUACCCAAAAGUCUGGAAUAACCGGCCGAAAGGCUGGCUAAUACUGGAUAGAGCGACGAAACUCGUAGAGAGUUUUUCGGGAAAGGGAGCUCGUUAAGGGCCCUUGCUUUUGGAUGAGCCUGCGUCCCAUUAGUUAGUUGGUGGGGUAAUGGCCUACCAAGACGAUGAUGGGUAGCUGGUCUGAGAGGAUGAUCAGCCACACUGGAACUAGAAACACGGUCCAGACU
RNAcentral lists this ribosomal RNA (324 nucleotides) under uncultured bacterium. Its description in RNAcentral is "bacterial SSU rRNA". It matches the Rfam family "Bacterial small subunit ribosomal RNA", at positions 29 to 337 of the family's 1533-position model. The record is from RNAcentral.